CCUACGGGAGGCAGCAGUGAGGAAUAUUGGUCAAUGGACGAGAGUCUGAACCAGCCAAGUAGCGUGAAGGAUGACUGCCCUAUGGGUUGUAAACUUCUUUUAUAUGGGAAUAAAAUGUUCCACGUGUGGGAUUUUGUAUGUACCAUAUGAAUAAGGAUCGGCUAACUCCGUGCCAGCAGCCGCGGUAAUACGGAGGAUCCGAGCGUUAUCCGGAAUUAUUGGGUUUAAAGGGAGCGUAAGUGGAUUGUUAAGUCAGUUGUGAAAGUUUUGGGCUCAACCGUAAAAUUGCAGUUGAAACUGGCAGUCUUGAGAACAGUAGAGGUAGGCGGAAUUCGUGGUGUAGCGGUGAAAUGCUUAGAUAUCACGAAGAACUCCGAUUGCGAAGGCAGUUCACUGGACUGCAACUGACACUGAGGCUCGAAAGUGUGGGUAUCAAACAGGAUUAGAUACCCGAGUAGUC
RNAcentral lists this ribosomal RNA (460 nucleotides) under uncultured bacterium. RNAcentral's name for it is "partial 16S ribosomal RNA". It matches the Rfam family "Bacterial small subunit ribosomal RNA", at positions 338 to 795 of the family's 1533-position model. The record is from RNAcentral.